AGUGGGAUAGUUGGGUCAAAUGGUAGUUCCAUUCCAAGUUUUCUAAGAAAUCUCCAUACUGCUUUCCAAAGCGUGUUACACCAAUUUGCAGGGCCACCAGCAAU
Molecule: microRNA precursor, 104 nt
Filed under: Marmota monax (woodchuck)
Lineage: Eukaryota; Metazoa; Chordata; Mammalia; Rodentia; Sciuridae
Source: RNAcentral